This 497-nucleotide ribosomal RNA is filed under the name uncultured bacterium. RNAcentral describes it as "partial 16S ribosomal RNA". It matches the Rfam family "Bacterial small subunit ribosomal RNA", at positions 28 to 507 of the family's 1533-position model. The record is from RNAcentral.
GAUGAACGCUGGCGGCGUGCCUAAUACAUGCAAGUCGAGCGAACAGAUGAGGAGCUUGCUCCUCUGACGUUAGCGGCGGACGGGUGAGUAACACGUGGAUAACCUACCUAUAAGACUGGGAUAACUUCGGGAAACCGGCGCUAAUACCGGAUAAUAUAUUGAACCGCAUGGUUCAAUAGUGAAAGACGGUUUUGCUGUCACUUAUAGAUUGAUCCGCGCCGCAUUAGCUAGUUGGUAAGGUAACGGCUUACGAAGGCAACGAUUCGUAGCCGACCUGGGAGGGUGAUCGGCCACACUGGAACUUGUACACGGUCCAGACUCCUACGGUAGGCAGCAGUAGGGAAUCUUCCGCAAUGGGCGAAAGCCUUACGGAGCGGCGCCGCGUGAGUGAUGAAGGUCUUCGGAUCGUAAAACUGGGUUAUUAGGGAAGAACAAAUGUGUAAGUAACUAUGCACGUCGUGACGGUACCUAAUCAGAAAGCCCCGGCUAACUACGUG